GCCGGGGUGGCAGAGUGGCAAAACAGUGGUCUGGGCCAAUGCGCCGGACUCGAGAUCCGGUUCUCCUUUGAGGAGAGCAGGGGUUCAAGUCCCCUCCCCGGCG
This 103-nucleotide transfer RNA is filed under the name Candidatus Bathyarchaeota archaeon. RNAcentral's name for it is "tRNA-Ser". It matches the Rfam family "tRNA". From Rfam's summary of the family: Transfer RNA (tRNA) molecules are approximately 80 nucleotides in length. Their secondary structure includes four short double-helical elements and three loops (D, anti-codon, and T loops). Further hydrogen bonds mediate the characteristic L-shaped molecular structure. tRNAs have two regions of fundamental functional importance: the anti-codon, which is responsible for specific mRNA codon recognition, and the 3' end, to which the tRNAs corresponding amino acid is attached (by aminoacyl-tRNA synthetases). tRNAs cope with the degeneracy of the genetic code in two manners: having more than one tRNA (with a specific anti-codon) for a particular amino acid; and 'wobble' base-pairing, i.e. permitting non-standard base-pairing at the 3rd anti-codon position. The record is from RNAcentral. Lineage: Archaea; Thermoproteati; Candidatus Bathyarchaeota.